GAUGAACGCUGGCGGCGUGCCUAAGACAUGCAAGUCGAGUGGGUUUAGACCCACGGCGAACGGGUGAGUAUAACCUAGGAACUUUCUUUAAGUGGAGCAUAACCAGCCGAAAGGUUGGAUAAUUCUCCAUGUGAUAGCAAUAUCAAAGCCGCAAGGCGCUUAAAGUGAGGCCUGGGCACCAUCAGCUAGUUGGUAGGGUAAAGGCCUACCAAGGCUAUGACGGUUAGGGGCCCCGAGAGGGGAAACCCCCACACUGGGACUGCGACACGGCCCAGACUCCUACGGGAGGCAGCAGUUUGGAAUAUUGGACAAUGGACGAAAGUCUGAUCCAGCGACGCCGCGUGGACGAUGAAGGCCUUCGGGUUGUAAAGUCCUUUUGCUCGGGAACAAUUUUUGAGCGUACCGAGAGAAUAAGAGGUUGCUAACUCUGUG
Molecule: ribosomal RNA, 432 nt
Filed under: uncultured organism
Description: bacterial SSU rRNA
Rfam family: Bacterial small subunit ribosomal RNA
Source: RNAcentral